AAUGAGAUUGAUUCAGUUCUAUUUCGUUUUUUAAUAAGCUGAAAUUUAUUAGAUUUGAUUCUGAAGCGAUUUAGUGGAUGAGAAAUUGUGCACUUGGAUUGAUGAAACUAUAUGUGAGGAUUCUGCUGCUGUUUCUGUGCGUAUUGCGUAAUGAUAUCGAUUCUAAUGAUUCUGAGUUUUGAUUUUUGAGUUAUGCCAUAUCGUCUGUGAAGUAAAUUGAGUUGUUUGGAUACAUGGAAACUUUUAUGAAAUAGUGUUUUUUUAGUUAGGAAUUUGUGUAAAAAUGUAAUGAAAGAAAUUGCUGGUUCACAUUCUACUUAUUUGGGGCAGUGUAUUGUAAGUGAGGAAGUGACUCAGACUCCAAUCCCCGCUUCUAUUCGUUUCGAUGCGCACCUAUCGAUAGUUUGGAUUAUAUUUUGGUUAAUUCCCUGAUGAUUUAAGCUUUUUAUCCGACAUUUAAUUUGGAUUGGGUUAGUGGCUCCAGUCAUGUCGUAGAAGAUUGGCUUGCGGUUGGAGUAUAAGCUUCAAUGCUACUCCAUUUUAUCGGUCUAUGACUAAGCUGACUUCCGGCAUGAUUUCAAGCGCAUUACAUAUAAACAUGGUCUAACUACACUGAAAUUGCAACUACUUUUUGAAUUUGAAGCUUCUGCUACAGCCUACAUAUAUGUGACUAAUGGUGUGUUGAGUCUAAUGCUAUUAGGUUAUCAUGUUGAGUGGCUUUCUGUUUUGAAUGAUUAUCUUCUCUAUUGGUUUGCUUUUAUAUGUUGCAAUGUGCUGAUGAAUGUUAUAGGAAUGAAUAGACAGCUCCUAGUUCUUCAAUUGCUCUGCUUCUCAAUAGUAGAUUGAAGGGCUUGAUCACUUAGGGUAAUCAUUUAUUGUUGUACAGCUGAGCUGAAGAUGAUGGUUGAAUAAAUAGAUUGAAAACAAAUUUACUAUACAAGAUUUUAGCAUCCGGAAUCCCCUUUUCAAGGAUAGAAAAAACUGGAGUUUUCUCGUUGAUGGUAGUCUUUAACUAAUAGGGAAGCUUUAUUGAUGAUCUUAAGAAUUCACAUAAAAAAGGAAAGGAAGAGUUUAUUAGGCAGACAGAAGCUUAACCUCAUAUACAAGAAAAUGCAUAAAGAAGUUAUUGUAGAUGAAUUAGUAAGCAACUGCUUUAACUGGUACUCUAUAACCUUGAUUUCAUAGGAUAGUUGAGUUCUAGUAUCUGCAGUUUCGCGUUCUUUGCUUAAGAUCGUUCCAAGGGCUGAAACUCCCUGCAACCACUAGGAAUGUAAUUCUCGAGUGAGCUUCUAAUCAUAUGACUAUCUGCACCAAGUCAUGAAUAUUCACAAGAAACCACACGUUUCCUACAUAUUUGGACUAGCUUUGAUAUGCUAUACUAUAGUCAUAUCUACUGCUAGUUUUGGAAUUCGGUAAAGGCCAAUGCUGUACUCUUGUUGUAGAUGUCAUCACCUUCUAUCAUUUCCAAAAUAACGUUCUGUUUUCUGGUUACCGGCAUAGUGGGAGCCGGGAGGGAACACCUGAGAUAGACUUGCACGGAUUCUUCUUUCUGAAACCUUGAACACAGUUUAUUUAGCUUGAUAUGUGUGAAUCGUGUAGACAGAUGGAAAGGGAAUGUAGGUACCAACAGGCAGAAGCUGCUUGAAUUUUCGAAACGUAUAUUUUGUUUGCAUGCCUAUUAGAUAAAAUAACCUAUGUCUAUUAUUUCUAGAAGCAAUGUUGUUUAUAAGGUUGAUACAUGAUUUCUUCUAUUGAAUUAAAUCAUCAGCAUGGUUGAAGAUUAAUGUUUAUGCAUAGAUGCUUCCCUUUUAACUGUUAGGUUUGGACCACUAAGUGAAGUGAUGGUGAAGAUGUCUGCUUGCUGUCUCUCUCAUACUCUUGCAACUAUGGGUGAAUAUGCUGUAGAGGGCUGUGCUGCAACACACACACACACACACAGUGACGAGGCGACUGAUAUAGUCGGAAUCAUGUACGCGCCGGCGUGGAUGUGAAGAUGGAGAAACUAUCGGUGAUUCUGGAGAAGGCGGACGAGCUGCGGCUGAAGACGAUCAAAAACUUGGUGGAGCUGCUGACGCUGCAGCAGGAGGCGGAGUUCUUGGUCGCUGCCGUGGACCUCCAGUUCGGGAUCCGCGCUUGGGGCAUUCAACAAGAUCGCCGCCGCCCAUAAACAGAUCGGAAAAUUAACUAUGGAAUAAGGCGGCGGCCACCGAUUCAACCAUAUGCGGUUGUUGGUUAUUUUCCCCGCCACUUUUUCUAAUUAACCAGUUUUUUUUGUCACGUCUUAUUUUAAUUGAUUUUGAAUGAAAUUUUGUUAAAUUUUCUUUAUGUUGAAUUAAGAAAGUACUGAUUUUAAUUUUACAAUUGUAUUAAGAUUUUCUAUAGUUGUGCCUCGGUUUAUGUAAUUUAUUAUGUACUAUUAAUUGUGGUUAGUUGAGAAAUUUACGUGUUACAUUU
Long non-coding RNA from Salvia splendens (bonfire salvia), 2454 nucleotides. RefSeq lists it as uncharacterized. The transcript is spliced from 2 exons. The record is from RefSeq and is a predicted model, not a curated record. Lineage: Eukaryota; Viridiplantae; Streptophyta; Magnoliopsida; Lamiales; Lamiaceae.